RNAcentral lists this ribosomal RNA (253 nucleotides) under uncultured bacterium. RNAcentral describes it as "partial 16S ribosomal RNA". It matches the Rfam family "Bacterial small subunit ribosomal RNA", at positions 524 to 776 of the family's 1533-position model. The record is from RNAcentral.
UACGUAGGGUGCGAGCGUUAAUCGGAAUUACUGGGCGUAAAGCGUGCGCAGGCGGUUCGUUAUGUCUGAUGUGAAAGCCCCGGGCUCAACCUGGGAACUGCAUUGGAAACUAGCGGGCUGGAGUGUGGCAGAGGGGGGUGGAAUUCCACGUGUAGCAGUGAAAUGCGUAGAGAUGUGGAGGAACACCGAUGGCGAAGGCAGCCCCCUGGGUCAACACUGACGCUCAUGCACGAAAGCGUGGGGAGCAAACAGG